This 73-nucleotide transfer RNA is filed under the name Alitibacter langaaensis DSM 22999. RNAcentral describes it as "Pasteurella langaaensis DSM 22999 tRNA-Met". It matches the Rfam family "tRNA". Rfam says of the family: Transfer RNA (tRNA) molecules are approximately 80 nucleotides in length. Their secondary structure includes four short double-helical elements and three loops (D, anti-codon, and T loops). Further hydrogen bonds mediate the characteristic L-shaped molecular structure. tRNAs have two regions of fundamental functional importance: the anti-codon, which is responsible for specific mRNA codon recognition, and the 3' end, to which the tRNAs corresponding amino acid is attached (by aminoacyl-tRNA synthetases). tRNAs cope with the degeneracy of the genetic code in two manners: having more than one tRNA (with a specific anti-codon) for a particular amino acid; and 'wobble' base-pairing, i.e. permitting non-standard base-pairing at the 3rd anti-codon position. The record is from RNAcentral. Lineage: Bacteria; Pseudomonadati; Pseudomonadota; Gammaproteobacteria; Pasteurellales; Pasteurellaceae.
GCCCCCAUAGCUCAGCGGUCAGAGCAGGCGACUCAUAAUCGCUUGGUCACUGGUUCAAUCCCAGUUGGGGGCA